AUGGCAACCAUAGAAAGGAUUGGAACCCCUGUACGCUUGCAUGUGUGUAGCCUCUCUCGACCAUGGCAACCUUGCCGGGCUAGAGCACAGGUCCUCCACCAUAUUCCACAAUCAAUCCACCAAAGCAGGAGUAGGGUUUUACGCCUCGCGGAGGUCCGAACCUGGGUAAAAACAGCCCGUGUGAUCGUUGUCGUGCCGUGUUGCGCCCGUCGCUCUUUGUGUAAUGUGCUCAUCCCCUCUGCCGAACCACAAGGGGCUGAUGGCCCCAUAGGUGGCUGUGGUUUCCCCACGACAUCUUUGGCGCGCCAGGUAGGGGGAAGCGCCUACGCGAACCCAAGAGUGUAUGCAGCGCGUCAUCUUCAUCCUCUGCUCCAUCGACGGCUCCAUCGUCCAUGGCGCCCAAGAAGAAGCCCAGCACCACGGCUUACCCGUCCACCUUGA
RNAcentral lists this ribosomal RNA (441 nucleotides) under Triticum aestivum (bread wheat). Its description in RNAcentral is "partial small subunit ribosomal RNA". The record is from RNAcentral. Lineage: Eukaryota; Viridiplantae; Streptophyta; Magnoliopsida; Poales; Poaceae.